This is a long non-coding RNA of Fukomys damarensis (Damara mole-rat), 4244 nucleotides long. RefSeq lists it as uncharacterized. The record is from RefSeq and is a predicted model, not a curated record. The transcript is spliced from 5 exons. NCBI's taxonomy places the organism in Eukaryota, Metazoa, Chordata, Mammalia, Rodentia, Bathyergidae.
UCCUUACUCCCAGCGUCACACACUCUAGAUCCAGCCACCUCUGAAACAGCCCCCACUUAUAACUGCAUGGGGAUUUGGGUGGACAAAUAGACACAAGCCAUAAUAAGUACAUAGGCUUGGAGGGCAUAAAAGAAGUCUCCUUGCAUGAAGGAAAAGGUUACCUUCACUAAGUACCCAUUAUGGUAGGUGCUUUUCUAAAACACUGUAUUAAUUUUUAUUACUAUAAUAAAAUGCAUGGUUGUGGGUAAUUUUAUAAAGAAAAGAGACUUAUUUAACUCAGCUCUGCUAUGGACCUUAGGAAGAGGGCAUAAUCAAUGGCAGGAAAAAGAAGGAAAGAGAGAGAUCACAUGUCAAGACAUGACAUCAGAGCAUUUCACCAGAGUCAAGGAAAGACAAAUCCCUGAUGCUCCACAGGGACAUUUCAUUCACAGCAGCAGCAAGGCAGAAACAGCUUGGGCCCACUAGAUGAUCUUGGCUUCCAACGUUGACCCAGGAGUAAAUAUCUCUAAUGGUCCUGUGUACCAUAUACACUCCUCUCUGAUAACAACCUGCUCUGAACUUGGGCUAAGUGCUGCUAAUAUUGUUGGUCAAUUGCAGAUGGGCCAAGGGGGUCAGAAACAUCCCUUAUGUGGAAGGGGCACUUUACUGGCUAAGGCAAUUGGAGCUGCUCAAGAAAGAAUAUUGCAGACUGGGUGGCUUAAAUAACAAUCAUUUUUCUCACAGUAAAAAAAUCAAGGUGUUGGCUGAUUCAGUUCUUGAUGAGGUCCCACUUCCCGGUUUGCAGAAAGACUGUACUUUAUGUGACAGAAAGAGAGCUGGCUUGCUCUCCGGACAGUUCUUAUAAGGGUACUAAUCCAAUUCAUGAGGCUUCCACUCUCCAGGCCUAAUCCUCUUCCAAUGGUCCCACCCCCAAAUGCCAUUGUAUUGAGAAUUAGGCCUCAAUAUGCAAAUUUUGUUGGUGGGGGGCACAAACAUUCACUCCACAGAGGAGUAUCAUCUCAUGUUUGCCUUCCAAUAGCAAGAAAAAUAUUUUAUUAUGUCCAUUUUACAGAGAGGAAGAUGAAGGAUGAAACAUGAAGUGGUAAGUAAAGAAUGGUGGCUGGGCAAAGGGUCAUAUUUCUCCCUGUGUCCCAAGGUGGGGAGGAGAGCUGGUAGCUGCUGCCUAAGUGGUCACUGCAUGAAAAGAUAGCAGGGCCCACCUCCUGCAGGGCAGGUCUCAGAAACACUGCAGAGGGCCCAGCCUAGAGAAAGGACUCAGCCCCCUAAUGGUCCUGUUGAAAUCACUGUCUGAACAUCCAUUCAUGAGUGGUCUCCUGAGUACCUCUGGGCCUAGUGUUGCUCAUGUAUCCGUCCAGUCGUCACGGCCACAACAAUCCAUCUUGGCCUGUUGCACUUGGAGACCUGGAAAGGGGCCAUCACGUGGCCUUUAGAGCUGCUCUGGCAUAGUAUAAAGUACAAAUUUAGGGCCAAAAGAGUGUGAGUCCCUGCUCUGUGUCUUGGGAGGUGCAGGGCCUUUGGGAGAAAGGUGCCUUUCUCCCCACUUUGAAAUCAAGAGGGUAGGACUUGAGAGGUGAAGAAGCACAGACUCGCACAAUCAGAAUUCACACUCCAGACCACAAUGCACACUUGUGCUUCCCAGGGGUCUCACAGGUGUUAGAAUCUAUGGGGGUUUGGAGAAUGCAGGUUUAGAGCUCUUCCUUCAACUCGUAAACUGCAUCCUGGGGAUGAGGCCCUGAAAUCCAUGUUCUUCACAAGCUCAGUAGGUGAUUCUGAUGUGUAAGGAGCUUGGAGAGUCAGCUCUCCCCUGCCUCAGGGCAUCUGUAACAGGCCCACAGACAGCAUCCAGCAGGAGGGUAGCUAACACUGUGGGAACACAGCUGGCAAAGGCUCCAUCCCUCAAAGCUAAAAGAGCUGCUUGCUUGGCUGGAGUGACUUCUGUGACUAAAGCAUAUGAUGGAGCCACCAAGAACUACUGUGAUUCAACAGGAGUUAAAGAGGACCAGGUCUGGCCUUUCCUGCUAAGGGUUUCAUCCUUGGCCUGAUCAAGGGAAGCUUAGCUUGGCUGGGGAUUUAGCUCAGCGGUUCAGUGACCUGCCUUACAAGUUCAAGGACCCAAGUUCAUUCCCCGGUACAUAAGAAAAGAGAGAGAGAGAGAGAGAGAGAGAAAAGUUUAGCUUCCCUGUAGAUAUCUUAGACUAUUUCAAUUUUCACAACUUAUAUGAGUUAAAUUAAAUUCAACAUUCCUUGUAGUGUGUUAAAUUCUCCUCAAUAUUUGUUCUGCUUAUAAAACCCCCCAAUGAAAAGGCAUAGUGACAAGUGUUUAAAAGGUCUUUAAUAUUGUCGAGAGCAAGGUUGAUGGCUUAAUCCCCUAUCGUCCUUUAUCAGAUCCACCUCCCAGCAGCUCUAAAUUAUAGUGCAAUUUAAGCAAAAAGUCAGUAUGCUUCCCAUAGAAAUGCAGUUUCACAACAAAACCUUUAGCCCACAUCGAGCUAUCUCCAACUGCCCCUAAUUUUUCUUCUAUAGAUGCUCAGCAGCUGCCAGGGUUUCUGUUAAAAUACUUGAACACAAUGGACCAAUCAGCACUUGCUAUGGUUGGCAGCUGAGACUGAUGUCUGUGUGUCUGAUUAGUGUUGACUUAGUCUCCCAUCAUAGCUUUGGUACUGAGAACUGACCACCCCUGCCCCACCCCCACAGCUGCCUCUUUGCCCAUUUCUCCAGCUCUCAUUUGUGCUCAUUUGUGACACUGGCCUGAGUUUACAAGUAACACUGAAUGACUUCCUGAUUGACUGAUUGAUUGAUUCUGUUGUUAUAGAAACUACCAGACUCCAGUGUAAUGGUAUUUCUUCCUGACUUUAUGUGUGACAAGGUUCUGUCUCCCUGGGCUGGCUUCAUCUGGAUCAGGAAGAGUAACCGCAUGCACAGCAUCAAGAGGAAGAUGUUUCCUGUUCUCCCUGCUCAUUGGAGUUAGUCUUCUCUGUCCUGUUGGCCUUGUGACUCUGGUGAAUCAAGUGUGAGCUCAGUCUCAACUGCUGAGGAUUAGAAGAUCUUCACUUCUCUGAGAGUUCUCCCAGUGGGCUUCUGCUGCCUUCAGGAGAUCCUCGAAGGGAGAAGUCCUUCACAGGAGAGCAGCUUGCUGCCAGGAAACCUGCAAUAUAACCAGAAGGCUCUCCUAGAAUCACAAUAUUAGAGCUAUAAAGGAUUCAGAUAUCAUCUUCUGCAGGAAUUCUCAGCAAGGUCUUCAGAGGAAUUUAAGGGAUGGAGAUUUUUCCAUGAUUUUAAAUUCCACAAACAUUUCUCAGGCACAUCUUGGACUAUUUUCCUUGCAUUACCUUCCUUAGUUCUCUCAGUGAUCUGGGAGGUGGUGUUUGGUGUUUUUCACUUUCAUUACAAGUGAAGAGAGUCCCUACAGCCAAUGUGCAGUGGGCUCAAACUCUAGGUUCUUUCCACGCCAAACUGAGCUGACUGGGCCCCACACUCUGGGAACACACCUUCCAAAUUCUGAGAACUCAGGUCCUGCAGUCCUUGAAGUCUCUUUGUGGAAGCAGUAUGCAUCCAAGAUGAUUUCCGUUUACUCAAGGAGGUGUUUUCUGCACAUCUUGGCAGCAGUGAGACUGCUUUCAGUGCCUCCCUUUGUCAGAGAUGGCAAAUGUCACUCAGCACCCCACGGAAGACUUCUAUUCUGCCAGCUGACAGCAUCCCAUGGAACAGAACAGUGAGUCUCCAAUCUUCAGACCAUUCCAGCCAGAGGCCAGACAAUGCCAGAAGCAAGAAGUGAUCCUCAAGGAUAAACCUCUGCCCCCUCCUGAUGUGGAGAAAGGUCAGCUUUUCCUCAUCUGAAACAACAGAGAAUGCUUUGAUUUUUCUUCAGAGAUUGGUAUGUCUGGUGAAUUGCAAGAGUUGCUUGCUUCCUCUAUGUUUAAAAUCAAACAUGGUUAUCUGUUUAGCUUUGGGUUGGUACAAGGUAUUAAUUCUCAAGAUAAAGUCAGGGAAACAGAAGUCCAAAAACACAAAUGUACGUACCUUACUUAGAUGGUUUUAUUGCUCAUACAGUAGGCCCUCUUUAUCCAUGAAAUCAUGUUCCAAAGCACUGAACCUAAAGAGAUUUUUAAAUCCUGGAAUAGUGUUUUCUCAAUUAAGUAUAUAGUUAUUAUAAUAUUUAACUUAUAAUUUAGGAAUGCUAAAAUAUUAUCAACAAUAACUACUAACAAAGCACUAUAAUAAAAGUUGUAUGACUGUGUUCUUUG